Molecule: long non-coding RNA, 389 nt
Organism: Dermochelys coriacea (leatherback sea turtle)
Lineage: Eukaryota; Metazoa; Chordata; Testudines; Dermochelyidae
Exons: 3
Source: RefSeq, a predicted model, not a curated record
CUGUGCAGUUUCAGUAGGAACAUCACAGAGCAAAUAAUUUUCCUCUCUCAUUCAUGCUGACUCUCUUAUAGCAGGACAGACAGUUUCUGCCUCUCUCUGGCUCCUCAAAGGAUUUGAUACAGGACUAGACGGGUACAGCUCCUCAAGUUCUAUUCCCAGACUCCUGCUUACUGACCAGAGGACACCUCCACAGAAUGCAACAGAAAUGAGUGAGAAGGCAGUAACCUAUGUAGACCUGAAAUUUCAAACUCCUUCUAAGCAGCAGAAGAAAAAGACAUCUACGAACACCAGGGACAAAGGUAAAUAAACGAGGAGGUGGUGACCUACAAAGAACUGAAAUGCCAGAAUACUACUGAGCAGCAGAGGAGACGAAGGACUACGAACCCCCA